AGUGAACGCUGGCGGUAGGCCUAACACAUGCAAGUCGAACGGCAGCACAGUAAGAGCUUGCUCUUACGGGUGGCGAGUGGCGGACGGGUGAGGAAUACAGCGGAAUCUACUUUUUCGUGGGGGAUAACGUAGGGAAACUUACGCUAAUACCGCAUACGACCUACGGGUGAAAGCAGGGGAUCUUCGGACCUUGCGUGAUUGAAUGAGACGAUGUCGGAUUAGCUAGUUGGCGGGGUAAAGGCCCACCAAGGCGACGAUCCGUAGCUGGUCUGAGAGGAUGAUCAGCCACACUGGAACUGAGACACGGUCCAGACUCCUACGGGAGGCAGCAGUGGGGUAUAUUGGACAAUGGGCGCAAGCCUGAUCCAGCCAUACCGCGUGGGUUGAGAAGGCAUUCGGGUUGUAAAGCCCUUUUGUUGGGAAAGAAGAGCAGCAGGUUAAUACCCCGAUGUUCUGACGGUACCCAAAGAAUAAGCACCGGCUAACUUCGUG
This 492-nucleotide ribosomal RNA is filed under the name uncultured bacterium. RNAcentral describes it as "partial 16S ribosomal RNA". It matches the Rfam family "Bacterial small subunit ribosomal RNA", at positions 29 to 507 of the family's 1533-position model. The record is from RNAcentral.